Molecule: ribosomal RNA, 877 nt
Filed under: Candidatus Pacearchaeota archaeon CG_4_10_14_0_2_um_filter_30_11
Lineage: Archaea; Nanobdellati
Description: bacterial SSU rRNA
Rfam family: Archaeal small subunit ribosomal RNA
Source: RNAcentral
GCAAACUGCUCAGUAACACGUAGCUAACCUACCCUUAGGUUAAGAAUAUCCUCGGGAAACUGAGGUUAAUACUUAAUAGGGGAUAUACCCUGGAAAGAUUUAUCCCUGAAACUUGAGCCUAAGGAUGGGGCUGCGGCGGAUUAGGUUGUUGGCGGGGUAAAAGCCCACCAAGCCUUUGAUCUGUAAGGGCUCUUAGCGGAGAGGCCCUGAGAGGGAAUCUGAGACACUAUUCCCAGCCCUACGGGGUGCAGCAGUUAGGAAUAAUCUACAAUACGCGCAAGCGUGAUAGUUUGAGUCAGAGUGCGUUCCAAUUUGGAAUGCUUUUGCCGAAUCUAAAACGUUCGGCGAAUAAGGACUGGGUAAGACGGGUGCCAGCCGCCGCGGUAAUACCCGCGGUCCAAGUCGCAGCCAUUUUUAUUGGGUCUAAAACAUCCGUAGCUUGCUUUCUAAGUUCCUUGUGAAAUCCUAUAUCUAAAGUAUAGGGCGCGCAGGGAGUACUAUUAAGCUAGAGACUGGAAGACGUAAGAAGUACGUUCGAAGUAGCGGUUAAAUGUGUUAAUCUCGAGCGGACUCACAACAGCGAAGGCAUCUUACGAGGACAGUUCUGACAGUAAGGGAUGAAGGCCAGGGGCGCAAAACGGAUUAGAUACCCGUGUAGUCCUGGCAGUAAACACUGUACACUAAACAUUAGUACCUCCUCGAGAGGUAUUGGUGCUGAAGCGAAGGCGAAGAGUGUACUACCUGGGAAGUAUAGUCGCAAGGCCGAAACUUAAAGGAAUUGGCGGGGAGACACUACAACGAGUGACGCGUGCGGUUCAAUUAGAUUCUACACCGUGAACCUCACCAGGAGCGACAGCAGAAUGAAGGUCAGUCUGAA